CACGGGAUGCCUUAGUACGGCGAGUGAGCGGCAAAAGCUCAAAUUUGAAAUCUGGUACCUUCGGUGCCCGAGUUGUAAUUUGGAGAGGGCAACUUUGGGGCCGUUCCUUGUCUAUGUUCCUUGGAACAGGACGUCAUAGAGGGUGAGAAUCCCGUGUGGCGAGGAGUGCGGUUCUUUGUAAAGUGCCUUCGAAGAGUCGAGUUGUUUGGGAAUGCAGCUCUAAGUGGGUGGUAAAUUCCAUCUAAAGCUAAAUAUUGGCGAGAGACCGAUAGCGAACAAGUACAGUGAUGGAAAGAUGAAAAGAACUUUGAAAAGAGAGUGAAAAAGUACGUGAAAUUGUUGAAAGGGAAGGGCAUUUGAUCAGACAUGGUGUUUUGUGCCCUCUGCUCCUUGUGGGUAGGGGAAUCUCGCAUUUCACUGGGCCAGCAUCAGUUUUGGUGGCAGGAUAAAUCCAUAGGAAUGUAGCUUGCCUCGGUAAGUAUUAUAGCCUGUGGGAAUACUGCCAGCUGGGACUGAGGACUGCGACGUAAGUCAAGGAUGCUGGCAUAAUGGUUAUAUGCCGCCCGUCUUGAAACACAGAACAAAAAAACGU
RNAcentral lists this ribosomal RNA (592 nucleotides) under Saccharomyces cerevisiae (brewer's yeast). RNAcentral describes it as "eukaryotic LSU rRNA". It matches the Rfam family "Eukaryotic large subunit ribosomal RNA", at positions 69 to 664 of the family's 3401-position model. Lineage: Eukaryota; Fungi; Ascomycota; Saccharomycetes; Saccharomycetales; Saccharomycetaceae. The record is from RNAcentral.